CCUUGGAUUUGGUGAUGGCAUCCUGAGAGGCCUGGGCCUCCUCCACAGACAAGGCGGCGGCGCGCUUGGCGGCGGUGAUCUGAGCGCCAGUUCAAGGGUAGAUGAUGUGCGCAAGGAAGGAAAGAUGCAGACAAACAACACUGAAGACGUCUUGAAAGCGCAUGAUGAGAUUGAGUUCCCAGAGAUGGUAGAGCCCCUGAGGGCUGCAUUGGAAG
RNAcentral lists this ribosomal RNA (215 nucleotides) under Triticum aestivum (bread wheat). RNAcentral describes it as "partial small subunit ribosomal RNA". The record is from RNAcentral. Lineage: Eukaryota; Viridiplantae; Streptophyta; Magnoliopsida; Poales; Poaceae.